AUACGGAGGAUCCGAGCGUUAUCCGGAUUUAUUGGGUUUAAAGGGUGCGCAGGCGGCCAUUUAAGUCAGCGGUUAAAUCGUGGGGCUCAACCCCAUUCUGCCGUUGAUACUGGGUGGCUUGAUUGCGGUCGAGGUUGGCGGAAUUCGUUGUGUAGCGGUGAAAUGCAUAGAUAUGACGAAGAACACCGAUUGCGUAGGCAGCUGACCAGACCGCAAAUGACUCUCAUGCACGAAAGUGCGGGGAUCGAACAGGAUUAGAUACCCUGGUAGUCCGCACAGUAAACGAUGAAUACUUGUUUUCGGCGAUAUAAUGUCGGAGGCAAAGCGAAAGCGAUAAGUAUUCCACCUGGGGAGUACGCCGGCAACGGUGAAACUCAAAUGAAUUGACGGGG
RNAcentral lists this ribosomal RNA (392 nucleotides) under uncultured bacterium. RNAcentral's name for it is "partial 16S ribosomal RNA". It matches the Rfam family "Bacterial small subunit ribosomal RNA", at positions 523 to 918 of the family's 1533-position model. The record is from RNAcentral.